CCUACGGGAUGCAGCAGUGAGGAAUAUUGGUCAAUGGGCGAGAGCCUGAACCAGCCAAGUCGCGUGAAGGAUGACGGCCCUACGGGUUGUAAACUUCUUUUGUCAGGGAGCAAUUGGGUCCACGCGUGGGCUUAGCGAGAGUACCUGAAGAAAAAGCAUCGGCUAACUCCGUGCCAGCAGCCGCGGUAAUACGGAGGAUGCGAGCGUUAUCCGGAUUUAUUGGGGUUAAAGGGAGCGUAGGUGGGUUGUUAAGGCAGUUGUGAAAGUUUGGGGCUCAACCCUAGAAUGGCAAUUGAUCUUGGCAGUCUUGAGUACAGUUGAGGUAGGCGGAAGGCGUGGUGUAGCGGUGAAAUGCUUAGAUAGCACGAAGAACUCCGAUUGCGAAGGCAGCAUACUAA
RNAcentral lists this ribosomal RNA (398 nucleotides) under uncultured bacterium. RNAcentral describes it as "partial 16S ribosomal RNA". It matches the Rfam family "Bacterial small subunit ribosomal RNA", at positions 338 to 732 of the family's 1533-position model. The record is from RNAcentral.